GCCGAGUAUAGUCAGGUCAAACACAACAGGUGGGCUAAGUAUUCCGGCCUUUCGAGCCGGAGACCCGGGUUCGAAUCCCGGCCGGAGCACCA
RNAcentral lists this transfer RNA (92 nucleotides) under Candidatus Bathyarchaeota archaeon. RNAcentral's name for it is "tRNA-Glu". Lineage: Archaea; Thermoproteati; Candidatus Bathyarchaeota. The record is from RNAcentral.